Molecule: ribosomal RNA, 1762 nt
Filed under: Triticum aestivum (bread wheat)
Lineage: Eukaryota; Viridiplantae; Streptophyta; Magnoliopsida; Poales; Poaceae
Description: partial small subunit ribosomal RNA
Source: RNAcentral
ACAAUGUGAGCACAGCUUUCAGGAACUGAAAAGACGCCUGACCUCUGCUCCCGUACUGGUACCGCCAGACUUCUCCAAGGACUUUGUUAUCUACUGCGACGCCUCGCGACAAGGACUAGGUUGCAUUCUCAUGCAAGAUCGACACGUAAUUGCCUACGCUUCACGGCAAUUGCACCCACAUGAGGAGAAUUAUCCUACUCAUGAUCUAGAGCUAGCAGCCGUAGUCUAUGCACUUAAGACCUGGCGACAUUACCUCCUCGGUAACCGUUGCGAAAUAUUCACUGAUCACCAAAGUCUGAAGUACAUUUUCACCCAACCGGAUCUGAAUCUCAGGCAAAGACGUUGGGUUGAGUUGAUCACAGACUUCGACUUAGGAAUAACCUACACCCCAGGGAAAGCCAACGUCAUGGCUGAUGCGCUAAGUCAUAAAUCUUAUUGUAACAACCCGAUGUUACAACAAAGUCAACCGCUUCUCCAUGAGGAAUUUCGGAAGCUUAACCUUCACAUUGUUCCUCAAGGUUUUCUUUCCACCUUGGUGGCAAAACCUACCCUUACGGAUCAGAUUAUCAAAGCACAGAAGGUAGAUCCGGGAAUUUCCCGCAUCAAGAGAAACAUCCAGAAAGGAAUUGCGAAUUGCUUCUCCACUAAUGAUCAAGGGGUCGUAUACUUCGGGAAUCGACUAGUGGUUCCCAAAGUGCGAAACCUGAGACGAUUGAUCCUUAAGGAAGCUCAUGAAUCUCCUCUCUCCAUUCAUCCCGGUAGUACUAAGAUGUAUCAGGACCUACGCCAGAGGUUCUGGUGGACUAGGAUGAAGAGAGAAAUUGCUCAGUAUAUUGCUAAUUGCGACAUCUGUCGUCGUGUAAAAGCAGAGCAUCAACGGCCUGCUGGCACCCUUCAACCCUUAGCUAUUCCUGAAUGGAAAUGGGAUAAAAUUGGUAUGGAUUUCAUUACCGGUUUUCCCAGGACCAAGAGAGGGAAUAAUGCUAUUUUCGUCGUUGUCGAUCGUCUUUCCAAAGUAGCCCAUUUCUUACCUGUUCGUGAGAGUAUAACCGCUAGUCAGCUGGCAGACUUAUACAUCUCCCGAAUAGUGUCCCUCCAUGGUGUUCCUUUGGAAAUUAACUCGGAUCGAGGAAGUCUUUUCACCUCUCGAUUUUGGGAAAGUUUCCAAAAUGCUAUGGGAACCCGUCUCUCCUUUAGCACCGCCUUCCACCCUCAGUCGAGUGGUCAAGUGGAACGCGUCAACCAGAUUCUAGAAGACAUGCUUCGAGCCUCUGUUAUCUCAUUCGGAAUGGACUGGGAGAAGUGCCUUCCAUUUGCCGAAUUCGCUUACAACAACAGCUAUCAAUCUAGCUUUGGUAAAGCCCCUUUUGAAGUUCUCUAUGGACGAUGGUGUCGAACACCCCUUAACUGGUCAGAAACCGGGGAAAGACAAUUCUUUGGCCCGGAUAUGAUUCAGGAAGCAGAAGAACAAGUUCGUAUCGUUCGUGAAAAGUUGAAAACAGCCCAAUCUCAUCAAAAGAGUCAAUAUGACCGAAAACAUAAGGCUAUGACUUUCGAGGUUGACGAGAAGGCUUAUCUUCGGGUCACCCCUCUGAAGGGAACCCAUCGUUUCGGUAUCAAAGGCAAAUUGGCUCCUCGUUACAUUGGACCUUUUCGCAUUCUCGCCAAACGAGGAGAAGUUGCCUACCAGUUGGAACUACCUCCGCACCUCUCCAGAGUCCACGAUGUCUUCCACGUUUCUCAACUCAGGCGUUGCUUCUCG